AUUGAACGCUGGCGGCAUGCCUUACACAUGCAAGUCGAACGGCAGCACGGGGGCAACCCUGGUGGCGAGUGGCGAACGGGUGAGUAAUGCAUCGGAAUGUACCCAGUAGUGGGGGAUAACUAGUCGAAAGAUUAGCUAAUACCGCAUACGCACUACGGUGGAAAGCGGGGGAUCGCAAGACCUCGCGCUAUUGGAGCAGCCGAUGUCCGAUUAGGUAGUUGGUGGGGUAAAAGCCUACCAAGCCUGCGAUCGGUACCUGGUCUGCGAGGACGACCAGGCACACUGGGACUGAGACACGGCCCAGACUGCUACGGGAGGCAGCAGUGGGGAAUUUUGGACAAUGGGGGAAAACCUGAUCCAGCAAUGCCGCGUGUGUGACGAAGGCCUUCGGGUUGUAAAGCACUUUUGGCGGGAACGAAACGGCGCUUUCUAAUACAGAGUGCUAAUGACGGUACCCGCAGAAUAAGCACCGGCUAACUACGUGCCAGCCGCCGCGGUAA
Molecule: ribosomal RNA, 500 nt
Filed under: uncultured bacterium
Lineage: Bacteria
Description: partial 16S ribosomal RNA
Rfam family: Bacterial small subunit ribosomal RNA
Source: RNAcentral